AAGCGCUUACAACCAGACUUGAGCGCGGCGGUUCCCCUAGCCUUUUGGCUAGGCUACUCCGCCGUGUCCAGGCCAACAUCGGUUCUGAGGGUCGGUUAAAGGCCUUGGGAAUGUAUCUACCUACGGGUAGACUUAUAGACCAGGGUGUCAUGCGGCCUC
RNAcentral lists this ribosomal RNA (159 nucleotides) under Cladophialophora sp. RNAcentral's name for it is "partial large subunit ribosomal RNA". The record is from RNAcentral. Lineage: Eukaryota; Fungi; Ascomycota; Eurotiomycetes; Chaetothyriales; Herpotrichiellaceae.